This 604-nucleotide small RNA is filed under the name Pan troglodytes (chimpanzee). RNAcentral's name for it is "processed transcript". The record is from RNAcentral. Lineage: Eukaryota; Metazoa; Chordata; Mammalia; Primates; Hominidae.
CCCACACAGACAGCCACAGCGAUUUUUCUAAAAACCACAUUGCUGUCUUUCAGGUCUUAGGGACCCAGCGCCAGGAGACGCUGCCCAAUGCCACCUUCUGCCUCAUCUCUGGCCACCGUCCCGAGGCUGCCUCACGCUUCCUCCAAGCCCUGCAGGCCGGCUGCAUCCCAGUGCUUCUCAGCCCCCGCUGGGAGCUGCCCUUCUCCGAGGUCAUCGACUGGACCAAGGCAGCCAUCGUAGCUGAUGAGAGGCUCCCGCUUCAGGUCCUGGCUGCCCUCCAGGAGAUGUCCCCUGCACGGGUCCUCGCCCUGCGUCAGCAGACCCAGUUUCUAUGGGAUGCCUACUUCUCCUCAGUGGAGAAGGUCAUCCAUACCACUCUGGAGGUUAUUCAGGACCGGAUUUUUGGAACAUCAGCUCACCCCUCACUGCUGUGGAACAGCCCCCCAGGGGCACUCCUGGCCCUGUCUACUUUUUCCACAAGCCCCCAGGACUUCCCUUUCUACUACCUGCAACAGGGCUCCCGCCCUGAGGGCAGAUUCAGCGCCCUGAUCUGGGUGGGGCCCCCAGGCCAGCCCCCUCUGAAGCUCAUCCAGGCGGUGGCAGG